Molecule: ribosomal RNA, 403 nt
Filed under: uncultured bacterium
Lineage: Bacteria
Description: bacterial SSU rRNA
Rfam family: Bacterial small subunit ribosomal RNA
Source: RNAcentral
GGCCCUUCGGGGCCAGCGGCGGACGGGUGAGUAACACGUAGGCAACCUGCCCGAAAGACCGGGAUAACUGGCGGAAACGUCAGCUAAUACCGGAUAGGAGGAAGCAAGGCAUCUUGCUUUCUGGAAAGGCGGAGCUUUUCUGCCACUUUCGGAUGGGCCUGCGGCGCAUUAGCUAGUAGGCGGGGUAACGGCCCACCUAGGCGACGAUGCGUAGCCGACCUGAGAGGGUGAUCGGCCACACUGGGACUGAGACACGCCCAGACUCCUACGGGAGGCAGCAGUAGGGAAUCUUCCGCAAUGGGCGAAAGCCUGACGGAGCAACGCCGCGUGAGUGAAGAAGGUCUUCGGAUCGUAAAGCUCUGUUGCCGGAGAAGAACGGCCUGGAGAGUGACUGCUCCAGGAG